RNAcentral lists this unclassified non-coding RNA (347 nucleotides) under soil metagenome. RNAcentral's name for it is "partial contains 5.8S ribosomal RNA, internal transcribed spacer 2, and large subunit ribosomal RNA". The stretch from base 1 to 120 matches the Rfam family "5.8S ribosomal RNA", at positions 35 to 154 of the family's 154-position model. The record is from RNAcentral.
GAUGAAGAACGUAGCGAAAUGCGAUAAGUAAUGUGAAUUGCAGAAUUCAGUGAAUCAUCGAAUCUUUGAACGCACAUUGCGCCCGCUAGUAUUCUGGCGGGCAUGCCUGUCCGAGCGUCAUUUCAACCCUCAAGCCCCUCCGGGGGCCUGGCGUUGGGGAUCGGCCCCGCUCCGGCGGCCGGCCCCGAAAUGUAGUGGCGGUCUCGCCGCUGCCUCCUCUGCGUAGUAGAAACACCUCGCAUUGGGACGCGGCGGGCCCACGCCGUUAACCAGAUGAAUUUUUUCAAGGUUGACCUCGGAUCAGGUAGGAAUACCCGCUGAACUUAAGCAUAUCAAUAAGCGGAGGA